ACGAGGAAGAGUCCUUCGGGGCUUGAGUAAAGUGGCGCACGGGUGAGUAACGCGUGGAUAAUCUGCCCUACAGUUGGGAAUAACCCACCGAAAGGUGUGCUAAUACCGAAUAAUGCUGAUUGGCUUUGGUUGAUCAGCCAAAGAGAGCCUCUUCUUGAAAGCCCUCGCUGUUGGAUGAGUCCGCGUACCAUUAGCUUGUUGGUAGGGUAAUGGCCUACCAAGGCUGUGAUGGUUAGCUGGUCUGAGAGGAUGAUCAGCCACACUGGAACUGAGACACGGUCCAGACUCCUACGGGAGGCAGCAGUGAGGAAUCUUGCGCAAUGGGGGAAACCCUGACGCAGCAACGCCGCGUGAGUGAGGAAGGUCUUCGGAUCGUAAAGCUCUGUCAGUUGGAAAGAAACGCCUGUAUGUUAAUACCAUGCAGGUUUGACGGUACCAACAGAGGAAGCACCGGCUAACUCCGUGCCAGCAGCCGCGGUAAUACGGGGGGUGCAAGCGUUGUUCGGAAUUAUUGGGCGUAAAGAGCGUGUAGGCGGCCUGAUGUGUCAGAUGUGAAAGCCCUGGGCUUAACCCAGGAAGUGCAUUUGAAACUGUCAGGCUUGAGUAGGGGAGGGGGAAGCGGAAUUCCUGGUGUAGAGGUGAAAUUCGUAGAUAUCACGAGGAACACCGGGUGGCGAACGCGGCUUCCUGGCCCUAUACUGACGCUGAGACGCGAGAGCGUGGGUAGCAA
This 730-nucleotide ribosomal RNA is filed under the name uncultured bacterium. RNAcentral's name for it is "bacterial SSU rRNA". It matches the Rfam family "Bacterial small subunit ribosomal RNA", at positions 66 to 771 of the family's 1533-position model. The record is from RNAcentral.